AUUGAACGCUGGCGGCAUGCCUUACACAUGCAAGUCGAACGGCAGCACGGGUGCUUGCACCUGGUGGCGAGUGGCGAACGGGGGAGUAAUACAUCGGAACGUACCUUAUCGUGGGGGAUAACGCAGCGAAAGCUGUGCUAAUACCGCAUACGCCCUGAGGGGGAAAGCGGGGGAUCGCAAGACCUCGCGAGAUUAGAGCGGACGAUGCCUGAUUAGCUUGUUGGUGGGGUAAAGGCCCACCAAGGCGACGAUCAGUAGCUGGUCUGAGAGGACGAUCAGCCACACUGGGACUGAGACACGGCCCAGACUCCUACGGGAGGCAGCAGUGGGGAAUUUUGGACAAUGGGGGCAACCCUGAUCCAGCAAUGCCGCGUGAGUGAAGAAGGCCUUCGGGUUGUAAAGCUCUUUUGUCAGGGAAGAAACACCGGCUCUAACACAGUCCGGGAAUGACGGUACCUGAAGAAUAAGCACCGGCUAACUACGUGCCAGCCGCCGCAGUAA
RNAcentral lists this ribosomal RNA (501 nucleotides) under uncultured bacterium. RNAcentral describes it as "partial 16S ribosomal RNA". It matches the Rfam family "Bacterial small subunit ribosomal RNA", at positions 29 to 523 of the family's 1533-position model. The record is from RNAcentral.